This is a long non-coding RNA of Spinacia oleracea (spinach), 1322 nucleotides long. RefSeq lists it as uncharacterized. The transcript has 7 exons. The record is from RefSeq and is a predicted model, not a curated record. Lineage: Eukaryota; Viridiplantae; Streptophyta; Magnoliopsida; Caryophyllales; Amaranthaceae.
CUUUCCUCUACUCUCAUUCGUACAUCAUCUGCUAUUCUCUCUCCUCGAAUCCUCCGCCAUGGGAGACUGAUUCAUGCAAGGAUUCAAGCAACGACUAUUACUUCCUUUUAAUAGAUUGAUUAAUGUUCUGGUGCUAAGAAGAGAAAACUUCCAAGAAAAAGGCGCAAAAGCAAUCCUAUAACACUGAUGAGUCUCACCUUCAAGGAAAGAAAUCCUCAGCUUCUCCUCCUCUUCUGGGUUGGCCGAUUAAAAAAGCUGCAAUUUUCGAAGAGGUCAUUGUUUUCGGGUCACAGAAGCCUGUUUUAGCUGAUGAUUUUGAGCUGAAGAAGCAUAAUUUGAAAUUUCCCGAUGCUUGUUGAAAUGUGUCAGAGGUGGAGAUGAUGAAAGAGAGGUUUGCAAAGUUGUUGCUUGGAGAAGAUAUGUUAGUAAGAGGGAAAGGGGUUUCUUGGUUUCUACUGCAUUAGUUGUUUCCAAUGAAAAUACGGAGUACUAAUUUAUGCGCAACGAUAAUCGGCAAUUAUGGAGGUUGCUAUGUGUUGGUGAUCGAUCACAUUGUUAAGAUGAUACCAACUUGGCAGACUUUUCCUGAUGGGAAAAAGCUAGAGGUAAUGGAGAGCUCAAAGUGCCUUUAAGCUCCUUGAAAUCAAUGAGAGAUUCACUCUUUUUGAAGACUUCUGCAUAUCAAGAACGAAAGCCGGUUAUCCGGCUUGCAUGAACACGAAUGCAACAGUGGAAGACUUUGUAUUCACGGGAAUAAAGGUGGCAGGGAACUUGACAAACAGCGGCAUCACAUCGAAACCUGUUAACGGAAACGUCUUCCCUGGGCUAAACACCUUGAGAUUGUCGAUGGUUCAAGCUGAUUUUGGUGUAGGUGGUGUUAAUGUUCCACAUUACCAUCCGAGAGCUACAGAAGUCGCUUAUGUGCUUGAGGGAAGUAUAUAUUCUGGAUUUGUUGACAGUUAGGGUAGAAUUUUUGCUAAGAUGAUUGAGAAAGGUGAGUUGAUGGCCUUUCCUAGGGGAAUAUUGCAUUUCCAGAUGAAUGUUGGUGAGUCUUCUGCAUCUAUUUUGGGAAGUUUCGACAGCCAGAAUCCCGGCUUGAUGAGAAUCCCAUCUACUGCUUUUGGGUCUGAUAUCAAGGAAGAGCUUCUAUAAAAGGCUUUUGGUUUGAGUUCAAGAGAUCUUCGCAAGUUGAAGAACAAGUUCAGCUCAUCUGAAGUAUAAACCAUAGAUGUUAAAAAGAUGGAAAAGUUUAUUGCAUCCUUUGAUUAUGGUUAAUUUAUUUUUGUCUAAUAUGCAAACUUGUUUUAAUUUAGUCAGAUAAG